UCAAUUUAAAAUUUUAUAUAUUUAUUUUAUAUCAUAUUUAUGCAGUUAUUUUUAUACCACAUAAAUUGAAAAAUCAAAUAUAAAUUUGUACAGAAAGUAAAGUAUAUCUACAUAUUUUAAUCUGAAAUUUAAUUUAAUAUUUAAUAACAUCGACCACCUGAAUCUACAUAUAAUCUAUUGAUUUCAGAUUUAUUAACAUUGGGACAUACUAUUUGAUUUUAUCAUGCAUUAUCCGAUAAAUAGAUUAACAUUAUAGCCCAAAAAAUAAUUGUAAACAAAGCUCAUUUUCUAACUGUUUAUACCAGGAAAAGUAAAAAAAAAAAACAUGUAUCCAAACUUUCUCAUUAACUUUUUG
RNAcentral lists this long non-coding RNA (355 nucleotides) under Brassica rapa (field mustard). Its description in RNAcentral is "long non-coding RNA (BRAP_LNC003688)". Lineage: Eukaryota; Viridiplantae; Streptophyta; Magnoliopsida; Brassicales; Brassicaceae. The record is from RNAcentral.